Molecule: non-coding RNA, 72 nt
Organism: Rhineura floridana
Lineage: Eukaryota; Metazoa; Chordata; Lepidosauria; Squamata; Rhineuridae
Source: the annotation of a RefSeq genome assembly
AGGGCUAUAGCUCAGUGGUAGAGCAUCUGCUUUACAUGCAUAAGACCCGAGGUUCAAUCCCCGUUAGCUCCA